AACUCCCAACCCCUGUGACAUACCACUUGUUGCCUCGGCGGAUCAGCCCGCUCCCGGUAAAACGGGACGGCCCGCCAGAGGACCACUAAACUCUGUUUCUAUAUGUAACUUCUGAGUAAAACCAUAAAUAAAUCAAAACUUUCAACAACGGAUCUCUUGGUUCUGGCAUCGAUGAAGAACGCAGCAAAAUGCGAUAAGUAAUGUGAAUUGCAGAAUUCAGUGAAUCAUCGAAUCUUUGAACGCACAUUGCGCCCGCCAGUAUUCUGGCGGGCAUGCCUGUUCGAGCGUCAUUUCAACCCUCAAGCACAGCUUGGUGUUGGGACUCGCGUUAAUUCGCGUUCCCCAAAUUGAUUGGCGGUCACGUCGAGCUUCCAUAGCGUAGUAGUAAAACCCUCGUUACUGGUAAUCGUCGCGGCCACGCCGUUAAACCCCAACUUCUGAAUGUUGACCUCGGAUCAGGUAGGAAUACCCGCUGAACUUAAGCAUAUCAAUAAGCGGAGGGAAAAGAAA
This 510-nucleotide ribosomal RNA is filed under the name Fusarium oxysporum. RNAcentral describes it as "eukaryotic LSU rRNA". The stretch from base 137 to 290 matches the Rfam family "5.8S ribosomal RNA". Lineage: Eukaryota; Fungi; Ascomycota; Sordariomycetes; Hypocreales; Nectriaceae. The record is from RNAcentral.